AGUCAAGAGGAGCUUGCUUUUCUUGACUUAGUGGCGAACGGGUGAGUAACGCGUGGGUAACCUGCCUUGUACUGGGGGACAACAGUUGGAAACGACUGCUAAUACCGCAUAAGCGCACAGCUUCGCAUGAAGCAGUGUGAAAAACUCCGGUGGUGUGAGAUGGACCCGCGUCUGAUUAGCCAGUUGGCGGGGUAACGGCCCACCAAAGCGACGAUCAGUAGCCGGCCUGAGAGGGUGAACGGCCACAUUGGGACUGAGAUACGGCCCAGACUCC
This 274-nucleotide ribosomal RNA is filed under the name uncultured Lachnospiraceae bacterium. RNAcentral describes it as "partial 16S ribosomal RNA". It matches the Rfam family "Bacterial small subunit ribosomal RNA", at positions 67 to 339 of the family's 1533-position model. Lineage: Bacteria; Bacillati; Bacillota; Clostridia; Lachnospirales; Lachnospiraceae. The record is from RNAcentral.